GACGAACGCUGGCGGCGUGCUUAACACAUGCAAGUCGAACGGAAAGGCCCUGCUUGCAGGGUACUCGAGUGGCGAACGGGUGAGUAACACGUGGGUGACCUGCCCUGCACUUCGGGAUAAGCCUGGGAAACUGGGUCUAAUACCGGAUAGGAGCCAUUUUUAGUGUGAUGGUUGGAAAGUGUUUUCGGUGUAGGAUGAGCUCGCGGCCUAUCAGCUUGUUGGUGGGGUAAUGGCCUACCAAGGCGGCGACGGGUAGCCGGCCUGAGAGGGUGGACGGCCACAUUGGGACUGAGAUACGGCCCAGACUCCUACGGGAGGCAGCAGUGGGGAAUAUUGCACAAUGGGCGCAAGCCUGAUGCAGCGACGCCGCGUGGGGGAUGACGGCCUUCGGGUUGUAAACUCCUUUCGCUAGGGACGAAGCUUUUUGUGACGGUACCUAGAUAAGAAGCACCGGCUAACUACGUGCCAGCCGCCGCCGUAA
RNAcentral lists this ribosomal RNA (481 nucleotides) under uncultured bacterium. Its description in RNAcentral is "partial 16S ribosomal RNA". It matches the Rfam family "Bacterial small subunit ribosomal RNA", at positions 28 to 523 of the family's 1533-position model. The record is from RNAcentral.